UAUAAUUUAGUUUAAGAAAAAUGUUUAUUUUUGGUAUAAAAGUUUGUGUUAUAAG
RNAcentral lists this transfer RNA (55 nucleotides) under Dictyocaulus viviparus (bovine lungworm). RNAcentral describes it as "tRNA-Gln". The record is from RNAcentral. Lineage: Eukaryota; Metazoa; Nematoda; Chromadorea; Rhabditida; Metastrongylidae.